CCUUGUAAUGUGCUCAUAAUUAACUUGGAAUCUUUUUGCCAGGAAUCAAGAGCAUUAAGCUUAGAACACGAUGUAGAGUAGACCACAGCCAGUUUGGCACAUAGUACACGAGGAGUACGCAAACACUCGCCCUGUCACGGCGCUCUUGAUUUAAGUGUUGUAAGGGGCCCUUCUCUGCUGUUUUAGGAUACAAGCGACAUCUAUUUAUCAAACUUCCGCUUGCGUUGAGACGUGGAGGUGGAAAAGAGAUUACGGAUCAUUGGGUGUCUGCAUCGAUGUUUAACCAAGCGUUGGAAUGGCAGCUGGGAAGUGACAAACACCUCGACUGACCUCGAUCACUCCACUCGCCUGCCCACUGGCCCGCUGCAACGCCACCACGUUGGAUACGGUGUGGACGUCAGGUGUGCUGGGACCACUGUCACAUGGGCGCCGGAAGUUGUGUAUACUAGUUGCUAACAAGGCUGGCCCUGUGAACCGUGGACAAGUGACUUCCACAUCGUGAUGCAUCAGCAACAGUAGGUCCUGAGGAGGUCUGUGUUGUGCUUGAGGAAUUCAUGUGUGUACGUGGAUGAAUCUACAUUUCACCAUACUGAUGAUAUUGACGAAGUAGGCAAAUACCAGCUACUGUACUCACAUAAGGAGGCUAGGGUACAUGGUGCUCAGCAUCAACUGGAUGAACCUAGGAGAACAGUGACAGAUCUACCCUGGAUCUAUGAUGUCUUGGAGUCUAGUCUAGCAGUGCUUAACUCGUGUCAAGUCUAGCAGUGCGUAGCUCAUGUCAAGCCUAGCAGUGUGUAGCUCGUGUCAAGUCUAGCAGUGCUUAACUCGUGUCAAGCCUAGCAGUGCAUAGCUCAUGUCAAGCCUAGCAGUGCGUAGCUCGUGUCAAGCCUAGCAGUUCGUAGCUCGUGUCAAGCCUAGCAGUGCGUAGCUCGUGUCAAGCCUAGCAAUGCGUAGCUCGUGUCAAGCCUAGCAGUGCGUAGCUUGUGUCAAUAUGGCAAGUCGCCGCCUCAAGUUCCAGUACUGCAAGGUGAUCAUUGCCACAUCCAUGGUGUGGGUCAUGCUGGACGUGUUCCUGCUCAUGUACUUCACUGACUGCACCACCAUGUCCUCCGCCAACUGCAACAACAACAACAACGUCCGCAUUGACCACCAUGAUGGCCCCAAGCAACAGAAGCAGGAGGGCUUCCUCAACAGAAUACUGCCAAAAGGUCUGCUGCCCAACCGGUCUCCGACCGGCCCUGGUGAGAUGGGGAAGGCAGUUGUUGUCCCGAAGACUCUGGAGGCUGAAGCCAAGGACAAGUUCAAGAUCAACCAGUUUAACCUUGUUGCCAGCGACAUGAUGUCCCUCAACCGAUCAUUACCAGACUACAGAAUGGAUGCAUGUAAAAAGAAGCAGUACCCACCCCUGGAAGAUCUACCCACCACCAGCGUGGUCAUCGUCUUCCACAACGAGGCCUGGUCAACCCUUCUCCGGACGGUCCACAGCAUCAUCAACCGGUCGCCAAGGCAACUGCUCCAGGAGAUCAUCUUAGUGGAUGAUGCGAGCGAGAAAGACCACUUGGGAAAAGAUCUGGAUGAUUAUGCAAAAACCUUGAGUGUAAAAGUGAAAGUCCUAAGGUCAUUUGAAAGAACUGGUUUGAUAAGGGCCCGGUUGAAAGGAGCGAAGGAGGCUCGCGGAGACGUCAUCACGUUCCUGGAUGCUCACUGCGAGUGUACGGAGGGGUGGCUGGAGCCCUUGCUGUAUGAGAUCCACAAGAACAGGAAGUCUGUCGUGUGUCCAAUCAUUGAUGUUAUCAGUGACGACACGUUCGAGUACAUCACCGGGUCGGACAUGACGUGGGGAGGCUUCAACUGGAAACUCAACUUCCGCUGGUACCCUGUGCCCCAGAGAGAGCUGGAGAGACGGGGUGGUGACCGUAGUCAGCCUACAAGGACACCCACAAUGGCUGGCGGUCUGUUCUCCAUCCACCGAGACUACUUUUAUGAAACUGGGUCAUAUGACGAGGGGAUGGACAUCUGGGGUGGCGAGAACCUCGAAAUGAGUUUUAGGGUAUGGAUGUGUGGGGGACAGAUCUUCAUCGUGACUUGUUCCCGCGUGGGUCAUGUGUUCCGGAAAACGUCCCCCUACUCCUGGCCGGGCGGAGUUGCCAGGAUCAUCAACCACAACACCCAGCGCAUCGUGGAGGUCUGGAUGGACGAGUAUAAAGAGUUCUUCUAUAAGAUAAAUCCAGGUGUGAAGAGCACGGACUAUGGGGACAUCUCCGAGCGACAGGAACUGAGGAAGAGGAUGAAGUGUCACAGUUUCCGCUGGUACCUGGAAAACAUCUACCCAGAGUCCCAGAUGCCCAUUGAUUUCUACUCCCUUGGUGAGAUUCGAAACAAGGAAACCAGCUCAUGUAUUGACACAAUGGGCCGGAAGAGUGGCGAGAAGGUUGGCAUGGUGACAUGUCAUGGCAUGGGAGGCAAUCAGGUGUUUUCUUAUACCAAAAAGAAAGCUCUCCAGACGGAUGACCUGUGUUUGGAUGUCUCCUCGGUGACCGGCCCUGUCAAACUAUUUCAGUGCCACGGGCUGGGGGGCAACCAAAAGUGGGAAUAUGAUUUAGAGACACUGACGCUGAGACACGUCAACACUGGGCUGUGUCUAGGAAAACCAGCAGUCCAUGACUCAGGGACACCAUCACUGGGAGAGUGUACUGGCCUGCCCUCACAACAAUGGCAGCUGAGUGACAUGAAAUGGAAGAACUAGUGCAUUGUGGGAUACACAUACGACAGUUGGCUGACUGUCGGGAUGUUUGUCAGAUCUCAGGAGUUUCUGUUGUAACAUAUAGAGAUAUAUAUAUAUCACUCUGCCAUCCAGGGAGAUACAGUCCUACAGCCAGCCUCUUCUGGGCGUGUGUGUGAAAGUGUGUGACCCAGCUGAAGGUCGACCAGCGGUUUGACUUCAAACAGAGCAAGGAAUCUGUUUCCCUGUCCUUGAUGUGACCUACAGAUAAGGUCAGAGCAGCUAUAGGGACCACUAGCACCUCUCUGUUUAUAAUGUGACUGUAGCCAACAAAGGACCUGAAUACCUCGCGACUGUGCUGCUCAUAGACUUGGUAGAUGCAGACUGAGGCCACCAUUUGCUUCAAGGGGAGCUGGACAGUGCUGGAAGCGAACUCUCAUACGUUUUCUACAUGGAGGACUGCGGACAUGUUGACAUUUGUUUCUGUCAUCAUGAUUUCAUUACAGCUAUAAACGUUGGGGACGUAUUGCCAUAUUAACUUGGGACAUAUUGCCAUGGAAACUGGGGACAUAUUGCCAUGGCAACAUCGGGACGUAUUGCCAUGGACGCUGGGGACAUAUUGCCAUGGUAGCAUAGAGACAUAUUGCCGUGGACAUUAGCGCCUAUUGCCAUGGGCACUUUGGACAUAUUGCCAUGGACGCUGGGGACAUGUUGCCAUGGUAACAUUGAGACAUAUUGCCAUGGACAUUAGCGCCUAUUGCCAUGGGCACUGGAGACAUAUUGCCAUGGACGCUGGGGACAUGUUGCCAUGGUAACAUUGAGACAUAUUGCCAUGGACAUUAGCGCCUAUUGCCAUGGGCACUGGAGACAUAUUGCCAUGGACGCUGGGGAGAUUGAGUCAGAGAGAUGUUAAUGAGUGAUGAUGCAUAUACAGAAGAAAUCUCUACCCUAUUUUAUAUCCUCUUUGUAUAUUUGGAUUUUAUUGUAUAAUCUGAUAACUGGAUGAAAUUGUAUAAUCAUCUCAUCCCAUUGUAUGAAUAUUUCUUUGUUGUUUAUCAGAUGUUUAUGAUUGUGUGAGAGAUGCUGAGAAUAAUUCUUGACCUUAUGAAGAUGUUACUUCUUUUAGCUUUAGGUGGUUGUGUAAUAUGUUUCAUUUUAGCAGCUGCCACAUGGGCUUCACCCUGCCAUCUUCCAUGUGGCUUAACCGAUCAGCUGCCACAUGGACUUCACCCUGCCAUCUUCCAUGUGGCUUAACCGAUCAGCUGCCACAUGGGCUUCACCCUGCCAUCUUCCAUGUGGCUUAACCGAUCAGCUGCCACAUGGGCUUCACCCUGCCAUCUUCCAUGUGGCUUAACCGAUCAGCUGCCACAUGGGCUUCACCCUGCCAUCUUCCAUGUGGCUUAACCGAUGUAUGGCUUUUAGACUGACACAUGGACAACAGCAGUGUACCCUGACUGCUGUCACAGUGCUGAACAUUUGCGUGUACCCAUGAGCCAGACACCAUGAAAGCUGUCACAGUGCUGAACAUAUGUGUGUACCCAAGGAACCAGACACCAUGACAGCUGUCACAGUGCUGAACAUAUGCAUGUACCCAUGAGCCAGACACCAUGACAGCUGUCACAGUGCUGAACAUAUGCAUGUACCCAUGAGCCAGACACUAUGAUAGCUGUGACAUUGCCAAACAUAUGCAUGCAUAUUCUGGGUUAGGAUGCAUAGACAGAAGACAGCCGGGGAGAUAUCCUGUUAGGAUGCGUAGACAUAAGGCAGCCAGGGGAGAUAUGCUGUAAGGAUGCGUAGACAGAAGGCAGCAGGGGAGAUAUGCUGUAAGGAUGCGUAGACAGAAGGCAGCUGGGGAGAAAUGCUGUUAGGAUGCGUAGACAGGAGGCAGGAGGUGAGAUAUCCUGUUAGGAUGCGUAGACAGAAGGCAGCCAGGGAGAUAUGCUGAGGCAGCUGUGGUUGUGCCAGCAGUCCUAUGAUGUGUUAUUGGGUGGGCUUCCUUGGUUUCUCUGUUGUCAACCGUCUCAGGCUUCACUAUCCUGGUUGUCAUUACAUGGAUUGUAAUACAGGGUAAACAUUCUUGUCAUUAUUUAUCACAGAUUUGCUUUAUUUCACAUGUAAGGGUGGAGCAUGGAUCACCUCUGCAGGGUGUCUCACUAGCUGCUGAUCAAGACAUGUGGAUGUCUAAUCUGGUUCUUAGGUCGACCUGCUAGCGCUCACUAUUUGGUUGAGGUCAUCUUCCAUGCACCAGCUGUCUGGUGAAGGUCGACUUACAUGCAAUCGGUGUCUCAUGCAUGCACUCACUGUCUGAUGGAGGUCGACCUGCAUACACUCACUUUCUGAUGGAGGUCGACCUGCAUACACUCACUGUCUGAUGGAGGUCGACCUGCAUACACUCACUGUCUGGUCAACCUACAUACACUCACUGUCUGAUGGAGGUCGACCUGCAUGCACUCACUGUCUGUUGGAGGUUGACAUGCAUUCACUCACUGUCCGGUGAAGGUCGACCUGCAUGCACUUGGUGUCUAGUGGAGGUCGACCUGCAUGCACUUGGUGUCUAGUGGAGGUCGACCUGCAUGCACUUGGUGUCUAGUGGAGGUCGACCUGCAUGCACUUGGUGUCAAGUGGAGGUUGACCUGCAUGCAAUCGGUGUCUAGUGGAGGUCGACCUGCAUGCACUUGGUGUCUAGUGGAGGUCGACCUGCAUGCAUUCGGUGUCUAGUGGAGGUCGACCUGCAUGCACUUGGUGUCUAGUGGAGGUCGACCUGCAUGCAAUCGGUGUCUAGUGGAGGUCGACCUGCAUGCACUCGGUGUCUAGUGGAGGUCGACCUGCAUGCACUCGGUGUCUAGUGGAGGUUGACCUGCAUGCACCAAAUGUCUGUGGAGGUCGACUGUGGUCAGUUUGUGGAACAUGGUGGAGGUGGGUCGAUGUUCCUACGGAGGUCGCCCUGUACAAGGACCUGGGUGGGUGACCUGCAGUUGCUGCUGUGACAGCCAGGGGUAGGAUACUGCUUAGCAACUGUUGCUAUGUAUAAUUAUUUAUUCUAUUGACAAGUAGGUACAGUUUUAUAUGGAGAUAGGAUAUGGUUUUCUAUAAAAUUGAUAAUGUAUAGGAUAUAUGUUUUGCUUGUGUUUCAUAUGUUUAACUCAUGUUGGUAUUUAUACGUGUGUUGAUUGUUCACUGAUUUUAUGACAGACACAUAUGUACAAAGACAACAUUGUAUACAAACAUGACAUUUAUAGAAAACUGUACAUAUGACAUGUUGCUUGUACACACAUGUUGUUAUUAAGCUUUGUGAAUAUGAGUAGAGAUCAUGUUUCUGACAUCACUUCAUGUGGCUGUCCCAGACUGGGUUCUGCAGUUCACGUCAUGCUGCAGGACAGAUGCUGAUGCUGCCGUUUCUACCAUUAUCCGACAUCCUGAUGCUUCUAAUGUUGCUUGUUAAGGACUUGAUUUCUUGCUGUGUCUGCUCUUGAGUUGUCGGUUUGUUGUUUUACGCCUCACUCAGCAAUAUUCCAGCUAUAUGACGGCGGUCUGUAAAUAAUACAAUCUGGACCAGACAAUCCAGUGAUUGAUAUCAUGUGCAUCGAUCCACGCAAUUGGGAUACGAUGACAUGCAUCAACCAAGUCAGCAAGCCUGACCACCCGAUUCAGUUAGUCGCCUCUUACGACAAGCAUAGUCCCCUUUUAUGGCAAGCAUUGGUUGCUGAAGACCUAUUCUAACUUGUAUCUUCACGGGUCUGCUUGUUAACAAGUAAAAAAGACUUGAUUUCUUGCCGUCUCUGCUCUUGAAAAAGUCAAGCACUAAGUAUGCCUUUGAGGUUAUGAAAGAGAUGAACGUUUUAGUGGUUUGUGAAGUUUUAGAAUUUUUAGAAUUUUUUCACUACUGUCAGCUUAUUUAUGUAGUCAAAUGUUGAGUGAGACUGACAGGUUGAAGAAACAUGCUGAUUGAAGCUUUGUUUUUGUUGGAUGAUGCAUUGAAAGUGAUUGAUUUAUUGUUUUGUAGUAGCAAAAUCAAAUGGUUAUUCCUCCAAACAUAAUCUGGUAGUGAGAUGAAGUAUUCUUGGUUCACAGGCAUGUCCCCAGUUUAAAAAACUAAAUAUAUGCUUGUAUUACUAAAACAAUUUUUGAAAAGGUGACACUUCCUUAUUUUUCUAAAGACAGCCUGUAAUCCAACUGGGCUUCUUUUCUUAAUAAACCUGAUCACUUGUCACAAGAUUAUUGUAGGUCUUUGUGUGUGUCUUUGGAUUUCUAUAAAAUCUUGUUAGCUCUAUGAUUUGUGUGUACAUUCUGGAGUAUCAUCACUGUUUGUGAUUCCAGAGGUACCGUCACUAUGGUAAGAGUCGCCUCUAUGAUUUGUGUGGACAUUCUGGAGUAUCAUCACUGUUUGUGAUUCCAGAGGUACCGUCACUAUGGUAAGAGUCGCCUCUAUGAUUUGUGUGGACAUUCUGGAGUAUCAUCACUGUUUGUGAUUCCAGAGGUACCGUCACUAUGGUAAGAGUCGCCUCUAUGAUUUGUGUGGACAUUCUGGAGUAUCAUCACUGUUUGUGAUUCCAGAGGUACCGUCACUAUGGUAAGAGUCGCCUCUAUGAUUUGUGUGGACAUUCUGGAGUAUCAUCACUGUUUGUGAUUCCAGAGGUACCGUCACUAUGGUAAGAGUCGCCUCUAUGAUUUGUGUGGACAUUCUGGAGUAUCAUCACUGUUUGUGAUUCCAGAGGUACCGUCACUAUGGUAAGAGUCGCCUCUAUGAUUUGUGUGGACAUUCUGGAGUAUCAUCACUGUUUGUGAUUCCAGAGGUACCGUCACUAUGGUAAGAGUCGCCUCUAUGAUUUGUGUGGACAUUCUGGAGUAUCAUCACUGUUUGUGAUUCCAGAGGUACCGUCACUAUGGUCAGAGUCGCCUCUAUGAUUUGUGUGGACAUUCUGGAGUAUCAUCACUGUUUGUGAUUCCAGAGGUACCGUCACUAUGGUAAGAGUCGCCUCUAUGAUUUGUGUGGACAUUCUGGAGUAUCAUCACUGUUUGUGAUUCCAGAGGUACCGUCACUAUGGUCAGAGUCGCCUCUAUGAUUUGUGUGGACAUUCUGAAGUAUCAUCACUGUUUGUGAUUCCAGAGGUACCGUCACUAUGGUAAGAGUCGCCUCUAUGAUUUGUGUGGACAUUCUGGAGUAUCAUCACUGUUUGUGAUUCCAGAGGUACCGUCACUAUGGUCAGAGUCGCCUCUAUGAUUUGUGUGGACAUUCUGGCAGUGUCAUCACUGUGAUUCCAGAGGUACCGUCACUAUGGUCAGAGUCGCCUCUAUGAUUUGUGUGGACAUUCUGGAGUAUCAUCACUGUUUGUGAUUCCAGAGGUACCGUCACUAUGGUAAGAGUCGCCUCUAUGAUUUGUGUGGACAUUCUGGAGUAUCAUCACUGUUUGUGAUUCCAGAGGUACCGUCACUAUGGUCAGAGUCGCCUCUAUGAUUUGUGUGGACAUUCUGGAGUAUCAUCACUGUUUGUGAUUCCAGAGGUACCGUCACUAUGGUAAGAGUCGCCUCUAUGAUUUGUGUGGACAUUCUGGAGUAUCAUCACUGUUUGUGAUUCCAGAGGUACCGUCACUAUGGUCAGAGUCACCUCUAUGAUUUGUGUGGACAUUCUGGCAGUGUCAUCACUGUGAUUCCAGAGGUACCGUCACUAUGGUCAGAGUCGCCUCUAUGAUUUGUGUGGACAUUCUGGCAGUGUCAUCACUGUGAUUCCAGAGGUACCGUCACUAUGGUCAGAGUCGCCUCUAUGAUUUGUGUGGACAUUCUGGCAGUGUCAUCACUGUGAUUCCAGAGGUACCGUCACUAUGGUAAGAGUCGCCUCUAUGAUUUGUGUG
Molecule: unclassified non-coding RNA, 8571 nt
Filed under: Haliotis rufescens (red abalone)
Lineage: Eukaryota; Metazoa; Mollusca; Gastropoda; Lepetellida; Haliotidae
Description: polypeptide N-acetylgalactosaminyltransferase 13- like, transcript variant X1
Source: RNAcentral